UACAUGCUCUACUGUUUCCUGGUGCUUC
Molecule: non-coding RNA, 28 nt
Filed under: Mus musculus (house mouse)
Lineage: Eukaryota; Metazoa; Chordata; Mammalia; Rodentia; Muridae
Source: RNAcentral